RNAcentral lists this transfer RNA (74 nucleotides) under Brachystegia kennedyi. Its description in RNAcentral is "tRNA-Trp". The stretch from base 18 to 74 matches the Rfam family "tRNA", at positions 1 to 54 of the family's 71-position model. Rfam says of the family: Transfer RNA (tRNA) molecules are approximately 80 nucleotides in length. Their secondary structure includes four short double-helical elements and three loops (D, anti-codon, and T loops). The record is from RNAcentral. Lineage: Eukaryota; Viridiplantae; Streptophyta; Magnoliopsida; Fabales; Fabaceae.
AUGAUUUAUGAAAAAAAGCGCUCUUAGUUCAGUUCGGUAGAACGCGGGUCUCCAAAACCCGAUGUCGUAGGUUC